Molecule: long non-coding RNA, 3251 nt
Organism: Mercenaria mercenaria
Lineage: Eukaryota; Metazoa; Mollusca; Bivalvia; Venerida; Veneridae
Exons: 3
Source: RefSeq, a predicted model, not a curated record
CGUAUAAUCUAGCUCAACGGUUGUAUACCUUGCAAGCCAUUAUGAGAAUUACUGCCCCAAGAUGGUACCAACGAACCCUACGGCUCAUCAGCUAUUUUUUCUUUCUAUACUUACUUACUUAGGUAUUGACAUUCAGCAAAUAAUAAUAUUCUUCAUAUGUGAUUUCAGCAUCCUCCAGUUUUAACUUAAAGUCAUGUGGGCGUGAACUAUAUUUACAAUCGAAGAAUGCCUAAUUGCUUACCGAGAUUUAGUCGAAAAAAUAAUUCAUUUUUGUCAGAAUAAAUCAAAAAUAAUUUGUAAUAAUUAUUACUAAAAUCUUUGCAUUAAUGUUACCACUAAAUUCACGCUAAUUAGUGUAACUUGGCAUUCAUAGAGUUUCUGAUAUUAUCAACACUUUGUAGAAGAAUACUAAAGUUAGAAAUUUGAAACAAUAGGAAGAAAGAGUUAAUAAAACUUCAUGCUGAUUACGGCUCAGGAUACUAAUGAAUUGAUCAUUCUCAGAGAUUUAUAUACUUAACUACUAAAACGUUUUUUACGGAACUCGUUUAACAUACAUUACAUUCACAAUACAUUAUGACUGGUAAUAAUACAUAUAUAACAGUGAAAAGGAUCAUUUACUAUGCUUAUGUAUUUUAUCUGGACGAAUUUGCUAUAUACUAUAAAGUGACUAUGGAGUGAUAUUUUUAUUGGACGUAUUUACUAUUUACUAUAUAGUGGCUAUGGAGUGAUAUUUUUAUUGAACGUAUUUACAAUAUACUAAUAAGCAACUGAUAAGUGUCUUAUGAUAUUCUUUUGGAGUGAUAUACUGAUUCGUAUAAACAAAUAAAUUGUUUGGAACUACUCGGGGAUAUUGGAGUUAUUUAGUAAAUAUCAUAGUCAGAAAAAUAAUGGAUUAACACUUAGAGAUACAAAGAGGAAUUUAUCGUUGUUUAUCAGCACGUCAAUAUCAGUAAUCGAGUGUUCAGGGCCUAGAACUAGACAAAAUUCCGAAAAUUAACAAUGAGAUGCAUUGGUACAUUGUUAGUAUUAGCAAGUUUGUGUGUUCUCCUUGUAAUCAGUAAUAAUCUCAACAAUUUCACACAGUAUUUGGACUAUAGUUUCUAUCAAACAAAUGGAGCUAAAACGCUGAAAAAUAAAAUAAACAAUAAUCAAAAGCGAAAAACACACAUAGCUCUUGUGAAAGUUCCAAAGUGUGCCUCAAGUACUAUUGCGUGUAUACUUGUACGAUUUGGGAUUGCUAAUAAUUUAACAAUUUUCAACAAGAAUCCUCUGAAAUGGUUUAGAGGAUAUAAACAGAAUAAGUCCGCAAAUUUUGACAUAUUUGUUCCCCAUAAAAUUUACAACAACAAAUUUUACACAACAGUUGUUUCAGAUCCUGUGAUAAUUGGCUCUGUCCGCAAUCCGAUAGAAAGAGUUAUAAGUCACGCCUUUUUUCUUCAAAAGAAACAUGAUAGACGGUUUCAUGAAUCUCUACACGAAGAAGAAUUUAUUCGUGAUGUUCUAUUCAACAUUACUAAAUAUCGGAUAAGUAAUGUAAUGGCGGAAUAUUUUGGAUUUAAUUAUAUCCAAACGGACAAUACAAAUAUUGACAGAUAUCUGCAAAAACUGAACUAAGAAAUUUCUUUGGUCCUGGUAGUUGAACGAAUGAAUGAAUCAUGAGUGUUACUGAAGCGACGUCUCAAUUGGUCGCUUGCUGAUAUUCUCUAUGGGCGUAAAAAUAUCAAUAAAUAUUUGCAUGUUCGUCUAAAUGAAAACGAAAAACGUAUAAUACGAAUGACCAACAGUUUAGACUUUGAAAUAUAUAACUUUUACUACAAGGAGCUAAGCAAUAAUAUAAAAAAUGAGAAAAAUAAUUUCCAUGGAGAAGUAAAGUAUUUUGAAAACGUUUUACAGACAGUCGCAACAUUCUGCGACCGCAAGUACAAGUCACUCUUAGUCAUUCCCUCAUCUCAAUGGGAUAGUUCGUUUACGAUAUUUGCGAAGGAAUGCGAUCUUCUCUUUAAGUCAGAGUUCCAUACUAUAAUGAAACGUUUAAAGUUUGCAAAAUCUCGAAGAACAGUAUGUUCACAUUAACAGUGCCUUUCACACACGUAUGGAGUAAAACAAUACGGCGAGUUAAAUUAAACUAAUGAUCUAAAUUAUUUUUCCAACGAACAGCUGGAAGAAUUCAGAUGCAGUCUAAACAGUAAACAUCAUUGAAAAAAAUGCCUCAAUCUUACACAUAAUUUUAUAACGCUGUCAAGUUGAACGGUUCAAAAUGACGAAAUAAAUUAAUGUCAAUUUUACAUGAUCUUUUAGCGGUUUAGAAAAAUACAUAUUACUUUCUAGUAAAUUAGUUUGAAAGAGAAAGAUGAGAAUUGUUCCUUAUAUUACCGCACAAGAUACAAUGAGUUUGUCCUACACGGCAUCAUACACCUUGAGUUGCACGUGUUUGUAAAUGUAAACGAUUGGCUGAUAUGUAAGCCACAACUGAAUGGAGCAAAAUAAAAGUAGUAUAACAAAUAGAAUGAAAUAAUUAUCUACUGAAAUAUUUUCAUACCUUUAAGAAAAAAAUUCCCUCGCCGUUAAUGCUUAAAGUGCCAAUCCUCAGGUUAAAUGAUGGCCUUGUUCGAUGUUAACAAAGGAUAUGGUAAACUUAUUAUGAACCUUCUUUACACAAUAGAAACAACCGAAUGAGCGGACACUGUAUUUUUUUAUUUUCAAAAUGUUAUUUUAAUGCAUUGUAAAAGUAAUACAGGAUAACAAAGGCAUUUACCUAACAAUCCUGGAAUCAUUUUCAUUGAUUUUCUCAUAUCUAAACAUUUUUGCGCAUCCUUUGACUAAUAUAUGAUUAUAGGCAGCAGAUACAUUUUCUCUUCCAAUCAAUAGCUUUGUCAACAUAUUUCCUCUUUUGAAAUACUUGGAAUUUCAAAUCCUUUAAAAGAAUUAUCUGUUUAUUGAUUUUUUUCCCCAGAAAUUGUUGAAAAUUAAAAGGGGCAUUUCUUGAUAAGAUCGAUACAUAUUUUCUUUUCAAAAAACUGAUCACUGAUAAAUUAAGCUUAUGUGUGGCACCCUGUCACAAACUGCCAUACGGGCCUCAUUGUAUCUGUAGUUUAAAUACAGGUAUUGCAUCAUCUUUUUGUAAAUUUUUGAUUUAUUAAGGUAAAUGUCAGAUUUGUCGCAUAAAAUAUCUCUCAUGUUUUUCUGUAUGUCAUAACUUAAAUUUCUAUAUAAAUUUUAUUAAAUUCGGUUCAGUAAUAAGAACGUUGAUA